Molecule: long non-coding RNA, 546 nt
Filed under: Solanum tuberosum (potato)
Lineage: Eukaryota; Viridiplantae; Streptophyta; Magnoliopsida; Solanales; Solanaceae
Description: long non-coding RNA (STUB_LNC006491)
Source: RNAcentral
CUUGUUCUUGGUCUACAAACGUUUAAUUUAACGCAAGGAUCAAUAAUUAAGGUCUGAUUUACCCGGAUUAUGACCAACCCAUGAUCCUAAUGUAUAGCUAGGGAUUUUUCCCACCAUUAACUUCAGGCUAAAACUCUCUCCCAAUGAUAAUUACCCAAGAAUCUAAAUUCUACAGAUUGAAAAAUAGAUUAGGGGAGUAAAAUCCUUACCUUUAGCACCAAAAGUCGUGGAAAACUGUCAAGAAAUCGCCAUGGGUCGUCACCUUACUCUUAAGAACGAAUUUGCACAAAAAUAACGAAAUAGGGGUUUUUCUCCGACUUAAGUCGCGACUGGCCCGCUAUAGCGGACCCCAACCCGCUACAGCGCCCCUGCCCUGGCGGCUUACAUGGAGACAGAACCUCAGAAUUUGAGUAUCAAGCCCCCAUUUCACAACACACCUUCACCCCUUGACAUUCAAAAAUUACCCUUUCAUGCCAAGACCAGGUUCGAGAGUUCUACUCGCUCGAAUUCGAUUCUGUAAAGUCGCACGGGCUCCUUAACGUAUUG